This is a long non-coding RNA of Ziziphus jujuba (common jujube), 955 nucleotides long. RefSeq lists it as uncharacterized. Lineage: Eukaryota; Viridiplantae; Streptophyta; Magnoliopsida; Rosales; Rhamnaceae. The transcript has 6 exons. The record is from RefSeq and is a predicted model, not a curated record.
CCAAGUGGAGUGGCUUAAUGUUAUGGGGGUUUAUAAGUAAUUUUACGUAAAGAAUAGUAAGCAAUCACAUAAAUAGCUGAGAACCAGAAAACCCUAGAGAUUUGAUAUGGCUGCCAAUCGAUACCUUGGUAUUGAUAAAAUUGUGAAAUUGUAUUCAGAGAGUUUCACGAUGGUUUUAAAGGGAUCUGGAAAAAGCAACUUACGGCGAGGUCCCAAUGGUCUUGAAGGGAUCUGUGAUCUGGAAAAAGAGCAUUAGGGAGCCUUGGAAUAAUGAAACUGAGAAGAUAACAAUAAUCGUAAAAUUGAAUGGAAAAUGUUGCCCGGCUCCUGAUUCUCCUCUGUAGGUUGAACACCACCACUAUCUGUUACUCCGAUGUGAGGAAGUUGAGAUGUACCGAUAUAAUGUUGUGGGCAUACAAGGACACUUGCAAAAAAUUGAAGAAGACUCUUCCUUAUCCUCUUGUUAUUCCUCUCAAUAAGCAAGUUUCACAAUUGCAUUGAAGGGAACCAGAAAAAGAGCUAGUGUGAUCUUCUCCAGCAUACUCUGCUCCUUUGUUCCACACAAGCUACCGCAUCAGUUUCUCAACUAUAAGAGCAUUUCACAUCUGUCUUGCAAGGAGCCUGGAAAAGAGGUUGCAACAUAAGUGAUUGCAAAAGUGAAAUACUUACUUUGUGUAGGUUGCAACAUAAGUGAUUGCAAAGAACUAUCAAUCCACUUUAGAGAUCGACGACCAGAUCCUAAGGUUUGUACCACUAUUUCAUUGCCUAAGCCUUCUUUCUACGCGUAGUUAACUAGCUUCUCAAAUGUUUUCAGUGUUGUCUUCAACCUACUGUUCUCCUGUAUGUGAAAUCAUCAUGUACUUAAAUGAGCAAGAAAUAUAUCUAUUGCUGUAUAAAUAAAGCAAUAUAGAGGACAUGUCAAUAAUAUUUACCGGCAAGUCAUAAAGUAUAACAA